This is a long non-coding RNA of Cyprinodon tularosa, 364 nucleotides long. RefSeq lists it as uncharacterized. The transcript is spliced from 2 exons. The record is from RefSeq and is a predicted model, not a curated record. NCBI's taxonomy places the organism in Eukaryota, Metazoa, Chordata, Actinopteri, Cyprinodontiformes, Cyprinodontidae.
CUUUAUGUAAAGGAUCUGCUUCACUACGCUCAUGUGCACAGUCGUGUGCGUGCAUGUGCACGUGUCUUUUAUUUUUGUCUGCAGUAACAUUUCAUCUCACCAUGACCUGUGAGAGUACAUUACUUCCUAUGUCAUCCAUGUUUUGUUUUUUUCAUUUUGCAGUUUGAAAUCUGUGAGCUGUCAUAACCUCAUCAAACAGAGAAAGUGCAGAUUAGAAAGAGUCCUGACUUGUUGCAGGUCGUCAGGAUUUCCUGAAGGUGACCGCUCUCCAUCUUGAGCCACUGAAGCUGGUUUGUGGUUCUAAAAAUCUUGUCUGCUGUUUAGUUCAUUCAGCUGAUGUCGAACACUUAGACAUAAAAAAAAA